AGAUGGCGACCGGCGCACGGUGAGUAACACGUAUCCAACCUGCCGAUAACUCGGGGAUAGCCUUUCGAAAGAAAGAUUAAUACCCGAUGGCAUAAUUAGACCGCAUGGUCUUAUUAUUAAAGAAUUUCGGUUAUCGAUGGGGAUGCGUUCCAUUAGGCAGUUGGUGAGGUAACGGCUCACCAAACCUUCGAUGGAUAGGGGUUCUGAGAGGAAGGUCCCCCACAUUGGAACUGAGACACGGUCCAA
This 246-nucleotide ribosomal RNA is filed under the name uncultured bacterium. Its description in RNAcentral is "partial 16S ribosomal RNA". It matches the Rfam family "Bacterial small subunit ribosomal RNA", at positions 86 to 334 of the family's 1533-position model. The record is from RNAcentral.